AUCUAGCUUGCUAGAUGUCGGCGACCGGCGAACGGGUGCGUAACGCGUAUAGAAUCUGCCUUGUACAGGAGGAUAGCCUUUAGAAAUGAAGAUUAAUACUCCAUAAUGUUUAGAGAUGGCAUCAUUUUUAAAUUAAAGAUUUAUUGGUACAAGAUGACUAUGCGUCCUAUUAGCUAGAUGGUAAGGUAACGGCUUACCAUGGCAACGAUAGGUAGGGGGUCUGAGAGGAUUAUCCCCCACACUGGUACUGAGACACGGACCAGACUCCUACGGGAGGCAGCAGUGAGGAAUAUUGGUCAAUGGAGGCAACUCUGAACCAGCCAUGCCGCGUGCAGGAAGACUGCCCUAUGGGUUGUAAACUGCUUUUAUACAGGAAGAAACAGAACUACGUGUAGUUCCUUGACGGUACUGUAAGAAUAAGCACCGGCUAACUCCGUGCCAGCAGCCGCGGUAAUACGGAGGGUGCAAGCGUUAUCCGGAAUCAUUGGGUUUAAAGGGUCCGCAGGCGGUCAAUUAAGUCAGAGGUGAAAUCCCAUAGCUUAACUAUGGAACUGCCUUUGAUACUGGUUGACUUGAGUUAUACGGAAGUAGAUAGAAUAAGUAGUGUAGCGGUGAAAUGCAUAGAUAUUACUUAGAAUACCGAUUGCGAAGGCAGUCUACUACGUAUAUACUGACGCUCAUGGACGAAAGCGUGGGGAGCGAACAGGAUUAGAUACCCUGGUAGUCCACGCCGUAAACGAUGGACACUAGUUGUUGGGAUUUGUCUCAGUGACUAAGCGAAAGUGAUAAGUGUCCCACCUGGGGAGUACGAUCGCAAGAUUGAAACUCAAAGGAAUUGACGGGGGCCCG
RNAcentral lists this ribosomal RNA (849 nucleotides) under Tenacibaculum sp. Its description in RNAcentral is "bacterial SSU rRNA". It matches the Rfam family "Bacterial small subunit ribosomal RNA", at positions 73 to 923 of the family's 1533-position model. The record is from RNAcentral. Lineage: Bacteria; Pseudomonadati; Bacteroidota; Flavobacteriia; Flavobacteriales; Flavobacteriaceae.